Molecule: long non-coding RNA, 331 nt
Filed under: Helianthus annuus (common sunflower)
Lineage: Eukaryota; Viridiplantae; Streptophyta; Magnoliopsida; Asterales; Asteraceae
Description: sRNA HanXRQr2_Chr13g0565371
Source: RNAcentral
UCACCGCUACCCUUUUCGAUUGAUCUGAACCCCAUAACGCAUGUCAAGGCUCUGCCCGACUAAGUUCGUUUGGAUUCUGUCUCGGGACUUUGGGACAAGGUUAAAUUAGGGGUACUAUACUUAACACGAGUAUAUUAUAUAUAUAUUUUUAGCCCAAAGGUUAUACCCAAAAUUUAUACCAGGAGUCCUUCUAAUUGAACCCUAAAGUUACACAGUGGGUCCAUUCCUUUUCUCACCAUUUUAUUCUCUUUUUGCCAAUGGUUAUUACAAUAGAUUGGAGUAAGGAUUGGAUCCGACACUGAAGGACUUCAAGAAGUGGCUUAUUUUAUUA